Molecule: ribosomal RNA, 427 nt
Filed under: uncultured bacterium
Lineage: Bacteria
Description: bacterial SSU rRNA
Rfam family: Bacterial small subunit ribosomal RNA
Source: RNAcentral
UGGGGAAUUUUGGACAAUGGGCGCAAGCCUGAUCCAGCAAUGCCGCGUGCAGGAUGAAGGCCUUCGGGUUGUAAACUGCUUUUGUACGGAGCGAAAAGGUCUGCCCUAAUACGGUGGGCUCAUGACGGUACCGUAAGAAUAAGCACCGGCUAACUACGUGCCAGCGGCCGCGGUAAUACGUAGGGUGCGAGCGUUAAUCGGAAUUACUGGGCGUAAAGCGUGCGCAGGCGGUUAUAUAAGACAGAGGUGAAAUCCCCGGGCUCAACCUGGGAACUGCCUUUGUGACUGCAUAGCUAGAGUACGGUAGAGAGGGAUGGAAUUCCGCGUGUAGCAGUGAAAUGCGUAGAUAUGCGGAGGAACACCGAUGGCGAAGGCAAUCCCCUGGACCUGUACUGACGCUCAUGCACGAAAGCGUGGGGAGCAAACA